AUGCAAGACUACUUCGCAACGUCACCUACGUAUCCACCACACCUCUUCCGGAGAAGGUAUCGAAUGCGUCGAUCGCUCUUCGUAACAAUAGUAGAAGCUCAUGAGGCCAAUUUGAAUUUUUUUACCAAAAGGAGAAACAUCGCAGGCUUGAAGGGUUUUAUCGCAUAUCAAAAAAUCUCAGCAGCUAUGCAGGUGAUUGCAUAUGGCAUUCUGGCUAACUAUGCUGAUGAAUAUCUUCCCAUUGGCAAAGAUACUACAGUUGAGUCAGUGCGUAGGUUCGCCAAAGUGAUCAUCCGUGUAUUUGGUCCUGUCUAUCUUCGGGCACCCAACGAGGAAGACACGACAAUGUUGAUGGCAACAAAUGAGAAGCGAGGUUGGCCGGGCAUGCUAGGAAGCGUUGAUUGCAUGCAUUGGACUUGGAAAAUCUGCCCGAAUGCAUAG
This 441-nucleotide ribosomal RNA is filed under the name Triticum aestivum (bread wheat). RNAcentral describes it as "partial small subunit ribosomal RNA". Lineage: Eukaryota; Viridiplantae; Streptophyta; Magnoliopsida; Poales; Poaceae. The record is from RNAcentral.